RNAcentral lists this transfer RNA (74 nucleotides) under Thrips palmi. Its description in RNAcentral is "tRNA-Ile". It matches the Rfam family "tRNA". From Rfam's summary of the family: Transfer RNA (tRNA) molecules are approximately 80 nucleotides in length. Their secondary structure includes four short double-helical elements and three loops (D, anti-codon, and T loops). Lineage: Eukaryota; Metazoa; Arthropoda; Insecta; Thysanoptera; Thripidae. The record is from RNAcentral.
GCCCCAGUGGCGCAAUCGGUUAGCGCACGGUACUUAUAAUGCCGGAGUUGCGAGUUCGAGCCUCGCCUGGGGCA